RNAcentral lists this ribosomal RNA (321 nucleotides) under uncultured delta proteobacterium B2M53. Its description in RNAcentral is "bacterial SSU rRNA". It matches the Rfam family "Bacterial small subunit ribosomal RNA", at positions 1084 to 1405 of the family's 1533-position model. The record is from RNAcentral. Lineage: Bacteria; Deltaproteobacteria.
GUCUUCGCAACGAGCGCAACCCUUACCUCUAGUUGCCAUCAUUUAGUUGGGCACUCUAGAGAGACUGCCGGUGUCAAACCGGAGGAAGGUGGGGAUGACGUCCAGUCCUCAUGGCCUUUAUGAUCAGGGCUACACACGUACUACAAUGGUCGGUACUAAGGGCAGCGACAGGGCGACCUGUACCGAAUCUCUUAAAGCCGUUCUCAAUCCGGAUCGGAGUCUGCAACUCGACUCCUUGAAGUCGGAAUCGCUAGUAAUCCUGGAUCAGCAUGCCACGGUGAAUACGUUCCCGGGCCUUGUACACACCGCCCGUCACACCAC